GGAAAGAUGAAAAGAACUUUGAAAAGAGAGUUAAACAGUACGUGAAAUUGUUGAAAGGGAAACGAUUGAAGUCAGUCGUGCUGGCGCGAAAUCAACCCUCUCGUCGAGAGGACACAUGGUGUGGCGAGCCUCAAAACCGUCACGAAGCGUGAACUCUUGGCGAAAAGGAGCACUUUCGUGUCCGCUGGUUAACAUCAAUUUCGAACGUCAUAAAAAGGCUGGAGGGAUGUGGCUCCUUCGGGAGUGUUAUAACCUUUAGCGGAAUGUGGUGGUCGGGAUUGAGGAUUGCAACGAAUACCUUUAGGGCUGUUCCACCUGGCUUCUCUUUGGUAUCCUGGUGACGACAGCUUGCUGACGUUGUUAGGAUUCGCCUUUGAACAGGCUAGAGUGUGAGCAAAUUCGUUAAGGAUGUUAACGUAAUGGCUUUAAACGACCCGUCUUGAAACACGGACCA
RNAcentral lists this ribosomal RNA (454 nucleotides) under Entrophospora claroidea. RNAcentral's name for it is "partial large subunit ribosomal RNA". It matches the Rfam family "Eukaryotic large subunit ribosomal RNA", at positions 358 to 668 of the family's 3401-position model. The record is from RNAcentral. Lineage: Eukaryota; Fungi; Glomeromycota; Glomeromycetes; Entrophosporales; Entrophosporaceae.